UGGGGAAUUUUGGACAAUGGGGGAAACCCUGAUCCAGCCAUCCCGCGUGUGCGAUGAAGGCCUUCGGGUUGUAAAGCACUUUUGGCAGGAAAGAAACGUCGCGGGUUAAUACCCCGCGAAACUGACGGUACCUGCAGAAUAAGCACCGGCUAACUACGUGCCAGCAGCCGCGGUAAUACGUAGGGUGCAAGCGUUAAUCGGAAUUACUGGGCGUAAAGCGUGCGCAGGCGGUUCGGAAAGAAAGAUGUGAAAUCCCAGAGCUUAACUUUGGAACUGCAUUUUUAACUACCGGGCUAGAGUGUGUCAGAGGGAGGUGGAAUUCCGCGUGUAGCAGUGAAAUGCGUAGAUAUGCGGAGGAACACCGAUGGCGAAGGCAGCCUCCUGGGAUAACACUGACGCUCAUGCACGAAAGCGUGGGGAGCAAACAGGAUUAGAUACCCUGGUAGUCCACGCCCUAAACGAUGUCAACUAGCUGUUGGGGGCCUUCGGGCCUUGGUAGCGCAGCUAACGCGUGAAGUUGACCGCCUGGGGAGUACGGUCGCAAGAUUAAAACUCAAAGGAA
This 562-nucleotide ribosomal RNA is filed under the name uncultured bacterium. RNAcentral's name for it is "partial 16S ribosomal RNA". It matches the Rfam family "Bacterial small subunit ribosomal RNA", at positions 355 to 909 of the family's 1533-position model. The record is from RNAcentral.